AUGGCGAACUUACACCAGAAGACCAUCACCUCUGACUCGGUCUGCCCGCGGUGCGCACUCACCCAUGAGGGCGCCGCGCACGUCACCAUUCUUUGCCCAUGCGCGAUAUAGGUGUGGUCCCUCUUGGUGUUGCAACAACCUCACUCCAUUGACCUUCUUUGGGAUACUACAACACCGGUCGGCCUCGACAUCAACAUUUGGCCCACCGUCUCCCUCGCCAUACUAUGGAAACUGUGGGACUCCAGGAACGCUCGUGUCUUUCGCAACGAACAACACACGUCCCUAGAUAUUCUUCGGAACAUUAUCUCGGAUUUCACGCUUUGGGCCUUUAGGUUUAAGGACCCCGUCAGUAGGGAGGCUGCUGCGUCUUGGUGCCUUAGACAAAUCUAG
Molecule: ribosomal RNA, 390 nt
Filed under: Triticum aestivum (bread wheat)
Lineage: Eukaryota; Viridiplantae; Streptophyta; Magnoliopsida; Poales; Poaceae
Description: partial small subunit ribosomal RNA
Source: RNAcentral